CCCUUAGAUGUUCUGGGCCGCACGCGCGCUACACUGACGAAUGCAACGAGCUUAUAACCUUGGGCGAAAGGUCUGGGUAAUCUCCAAAUUUCGUCGUGAUGGGGAUAGAUUAUUGCAAUUAUUAAUCUUCAACGAGGAAUGCCUAGUAAGCGCAAGUCAUCAGCUUGCGUUGAUUACGUCCCUGCCCUUUGUACACACCGCCCGUCGCUCCUACCGAUUGAAUGGUCCGGUGAAGCGUUCGGACCGUGGCCUUUGGACGGUUCGCCGUCUGUUGGCUGCGGGAAGUUCGUUAAACCUUAUCAUUUAGAGGAAGGAGAAGUCGUANCA
Molecule: ribosomal RNA, 327 nt
Filed under: uncultured eukaryote
Lineage: Eukaryota
Description: partial 18S ribosomal RNA
Rfam family: Eukaryotic small subunit ribosomal RNA
Source: RNAcentral